This 399-nucleotide ribosomal RNA is filed under the name uncultured bacterium. RNAcentral's name for it is "bacterial SSU rRNA". It matches the Rfam family "Bacterial small subunit ribosomal RNA", at positions 28 to 422 of the family's 1533-position model. The record is from RNAcentral.
GAUGAACGCUAGCGGCAGGCUUAAUACAUGCAAGUCGAGGGGCAGCACGGGUAGCAAUACCUGGUGGCGACCGGCAAACGGGUGCGGAACACGUACGCAACCUUCCCAAAACUGGUGAAUAGCCCUCCGAAAGGAGGAUUAAUACACCGUACCAUAAUGAAGAGGCAUCUCUUUAUUAUUAUAGUCUUCGGACGGUUUUGGAUGGGCGUGCGCCUGAUUAGGUAGUUGGCGGGGUAACGGCCCACCAAGCCUGCGAUCAGUAACUGGUGUGAGAGCACGACCAGUCACACGGGCACUGAGACACGGGCCCGACUCCUACGGGAGGCAGCAGUAAGGAAUAUUGGUCAAUGGACGCAAGUCUGAACCAGCCAUGCCGCGUGAAGGAUGAAGGUCCUCUGG